This 331-nucleotide ribosomal RNA is filed under the name uncultured bacterium. RNAcentral's name for it is "bacterial SSU rRNA". It matches the Rfam family "Bacterial small subunit ribosomal RNA", at positions 568 to 898 of the family's 1533-position model. The record is from RNAcentral.
CGCGCAGGCGGCCUAUCAAGUCAGGCGUGAAAGCCCCGGGCUUAACCUGGGAAUUGCGCUUGGGACUGGCAGGCUGGAGUUCGGGAGAGGAGAGUGGAAUUCCCAGUGUAGAGGUGAAAUUCGUAGAUAUUGGGAAGAACACCGGUGGCGAAGGCGGCUCUCUGGACCGAUACUGACGCUGAGGCGCGAAAGCGUGGGGAGCAAACAGGAUUAGAUACCCUGGUAGUCCACGCUGUAAACGAUGUGCGCUAGACGUUGGGAGGCGUAGCCUUCCGGUGUCGCAGCUAACGCUUUAAGCGCACCGCCUGGGGAGUACGGCCGCAAGGUUAAA